AGAGCCUGAUGCAGCUGCUUGCACUGUGCUGCCUGGCACAGUCUUAUGCCAAGAGGAGAAGGGAGCAAUUUCUGGUGGAGAAGGCUAAUACUCAACGCCGGUAUUUGGGCAGGAGGAGAGCCCUGAUUUUGGGCAGCAUUACGUCUACCCUGAGAUUUACCAGCGCGACUAAUCGAUCAUUGUGGACCAGAGACCACAGUCAUGGACAAGCUUUCUGGGCGACCGUGGAAGCUUAUCAGCCAGAACAGUGGAUGGUACACUGUUGGACGUCACAUGCUACGUUUUACUACCUGCUGGAACUUCUCACUCCAGCACUCACCAGGGGAAGAACCAACUACCGCAAGACCAUCGAGCUGUGCAGGAGACUGGCGAUUGUGUUGUGGUGGUAUGCAACACCGGGUUAAUACUGCACCAUCUCCUGCUUGUUCGGUGUUGGCAUAUCGACGGUGUGUGCUAGUGCAGGAAGUGACCCAGGCAUUGCUGGAAACCCUUUACCACUGUUUCAUCUCCUUACCACAGGUGACCGGCUGGAUGAUACCAUAAAAGGUUUCCUGCGACGUGGAUAUCCUCAGUGUGCUGGAGCCAUAGAUGGGACCCACAUACCCAUUAUUGCCCCCAAAGACAACCCAGCCGAUUACUACAACCGAAAAGGCUGGCACUCCAUCAUCCUGCAGGCUGUAGUGGACCAUAAGUAUUGAUAUCCUUCAGAGAGUCCUGUCCUGGGGCGGCAAAAAUUUAAUUUUAGGGGGAGAUUUCAACACGGUCGUUGAUCCAUCCAUGGACAGGUCGGGGAAAUAUGGACCCUCGAUAUGGGAAGAUUGCUCUGUGGAUGGAUCGACGGCCUGUGUCCCAUAGCAGGCAUUACAUUUUCACAGAUGUCUUCAUCGGCUGGUCGGGUCGUGCUCACGACUCCUGGGUACUUGGCAACACUAAAUUGUUCCAGAUUGCAGAAGAGAACCAACAUGGCUGGUUGUUCCCUAGAGAGAAAUCAAAGUUUGUUGAUGGUGUGGAAAUCCCGGUGCACCUUAUUGGAGAUGCGGCGUACCCUUCGAGGCGAUGGCUCAUCAAGGGCUUCACGCAGCAUCUCCCACUCUCUCCAGAACAAGUGCAUUUCACCCACACUCUCAGCCAGGAUGGUGGUGGAGAAUGCCUUUGGGAGACUGAAGGGGCAGUGGUGGUGUCUACUAAAGCGCAAUGACAUUGCCAUCACCCUGGUGCCGGAUGUGGUUGUUGCUUGCUGUAUCCUCCACAACUUUUGUGAGAUAUAGAACAAACACUUUUUACCAGAGUGGAAUGUUGUGGACUUUGAACUGUGCGUUACUCCGGUAGAAGCAGCAGCCUAUGGGAGAAGACAAGUAAGUGGCAGUGCUGAGGAAAUCUGCAACACCCUCACUGCUAACUUAACUACUAUGACACAGUAGGGGACACAAGAGAUAUGUUUCAAAAAAGUUUUGGUUUUAUUGUUUUUGAAAAAAGUUUUGGUUUUAUUGUUUUUGAAAAAGUUAUGUACUGUACAUGUUACCUCACAUGUAUCAUUUUACAGAUAACAUCUUUACAGUUUAAAA
Molecule: long non-coding RNA, 1565 nt
Organism: Pseudophryne corroboree (corroboree frog)
Lineage: Eukaryota; Metazoa; Chordata; Amphibia; Anura; Myobatrachidae
Exons: 5
Source: RefSeq, a predicted model, not a curated record